Molecule: ribosomal RNA, 508 nt
Filed under: uncultured bacterium
Lineage: Bacteria
Description: partial 16S ribosomal RNA
Rfam family: Bacterial small subunit ribosomal RNA
Source: RNAcentral
GAUGAACGCUAGCUACAGGCUUAACACAUGCAAGUCGAGGGGAAACGAUAUUGGAAGCUUGCUUCCGAUAGGCGUCGACCGGCGCACGGGUGAGUAACGCGUAUCCAACCUGCCCACCACUUGGGGAUAACCUUGCGAAAGUAAGACUAAUACCCAAUGAUAUCCAUAGAAGACAUCUGAAAUGGAUUAAAGAUUUAUCGGUGAUGGAUGGGGAUGCGUCUGAUUAGCUUGUUGGCGGGGUAACGGCCCACCAAGGCGACGAUCAGUAGGGGAUCUGAGAGGAAGGUCCCCCACAUUGGAACUGAGACACGGUCCAAACUCCUACGGGAGGCAGCAGUGAGGAAUAUUGGUCAAUGGGCGAGAGCCUGAACCAGCCAAGUAGCGUGCAGGAUGACGGCCCUAUGGGUUGUAAACUGCUUUUAUAAGGGAAUAAAGUGGGAGUCGUGACUCCUUUUGCAUGUACCUUAUGAAUAAGGACCGGCUAAUUCCGUGCCAGCCGCCGCAGUAA